RNAcentral lists this small nuclear RNA (107 nucleotides) under Salvator merianae (Argentine black and white tegu). The record is from RNAcentral. Lineage: Eukaryota; Metazoa; Chordata; Lepidosauria; Squamata; Teiidae.
GUGCUUGCUUUGGCAGCACGUAUACUAAAACUGGAAUAUUAGAGAGAAAAUUAGUAUUAGCCCUGUGCAAGGAUUUCACGCAAAUUNGUGAAGCNUCCAUACUUAAA